This 676-nucleotide long non-coding RNA is filed under the name Capsicum annuum. RNAcentral describes it as "long non-coding RNA (CANN_LNC020881)". The record is from RNAcentral. Lineage: Eukaryota; Viridiplantae; Streptophyta; Magnoliopsida; Solanales; Solanaceae.
CGCGACGGGGCUGCUGGCGCUUGAUUUCGGACGAGGCGGUGCUUUUGUGCGUGCGGCGAGUCCUGGAUGCUGCUCUCGGGGCAAGCUCCAGGCGCUGCAUGCGUGGGGCCGAGCCCAAUCCGCGGCGAGCGCCGGCGGCCGGCGUGGGCGGCGCCCGUGCACGAGCCUCGGCGUGCCUUCAUCUCCUCUGCUCCCCCCAAGGGCGGGCUAUCGUGUCAAGCGGGACUUGCUUCGACCUUGCAACGUCCGCACGGGCAGCAGCGCACGGCAUCUAUUGCCGGGCGUUGGGGCCGGUGCUGGGCGUGCAUCGACGGAGCAUUUGGACGCACGGCGCGUGAGUUGUGUUCGGCACGCGCGGUUAGGUUGGAUCCCUGCUCGAGCAGCGACGUCCUGACCCGCCUGUGGGCAGCAGCGCACGACAUCUAUUGCUGGGCGUUGGGGCCGGUGCUGGGCGUGCAUCGACGGAGUAUUUGGACGCACGGCACGUGAGUUGUGUUCGGCACGUACGAUUAUGUUGGAUCCCUGCUCGAGCAGCGAUGUCCUGACCCACCUGCCAUCUCAGUCGCGGGGCAAGUGCAAUGCAGGCUUGCUCGAAGUCGGUUUCCUGUGCUGGAUACCUAAUGCCCAGGCAUUAUCAAGUUUUAUCGAUCGCCUUUCGCCCCUCGUAUUUCAUGUG